Molecule: long non-coding RNA, 275 nt
Organism: Neopelma chrysocephalum (saffron-crested tyrant-manakin)
Lineage: Eukaryota; Metazoa; Chordata; Aves; Passeriformes; Pipridae
Exons: 2
Source: RefSeq, a predicted model, not a curated record
ACAGCUUUUAGAGCCGCUCUGCAGUCUGACAGCCGAGAGGAGCAGAGGCAUCACCCACGGGCACCACCACAGCGUGUGGACCGGGCAGCGCAGCCCCCAGGCGGGCUCAGGUUUACAUGCGCUCACAACACCGAAAUUUUGAACAAAAACAGUAUGAAAGAAAUGGGAGAGAAAAUUCUGAAGGAAGCAGGCCAUGAGCAGCACACCUCACUGAUCCUAGGGGGACAGGCCGGAUGGAUCAUUCCCACUGAAAAGGCAGCAGUCGAUUUUCUAAA